Molecule: long non-coding RNA, 1037 nt
Organism: Vigna angularis (adzuki bean)
Lineage: Eukaryota; Viridiplantae; Streptophyta; Magnoliopsida; Fabales; Fabaceae
Exons: 3
Source: RefSeq, a predicted model, not a curated record
UUGGUAGACUUGAACAAGAUGAAUUACACUAAUGAACCAUUUAUCAUGGCUAGUCAAGCAAGACAAAUAUUCUACGUAAAUGAUCCAACGAAUAAAAAAUGGUCAGUGGUUUUAGAAGGAAAAAACAUGCAAGGAUAUGAUGAUGAAGAUUCUCUUGAUAUACUUGAGACAACAUAUGUUGCAUCAAGACUCAUUGAAGACUCAGUUGAUGACGUUGUCGAUGACAUCCAGGCAAUUCGUAGUGAUCACAAUGAAGGGAUCUGGGAGAAAACAAUAUCUUAAUAGGUAUGUCGGCCUCAGACUCAGGAUCAGGACAGACCAGACGUGGUCGAGGCGUCACACGAUUGCCAUAUGUGACAUCCGGACGCGUUGAUGGGCAGAGGAAACAUGUUGACAUUGACCCUAGAUCAAGUCAGGCAUCAGGGCCAAAUGUUGAUAGUUUUAGGAGUUAUCUGGGUAAGUUAGCAAAAAGUCAUGUCUUUAUCCUUCAUGCAUCUUGGGAUGACGUCCCAAAGGUCGAGAAGAACCUCUUAUGGCAAGAUAUUCAGGUAUGUUUACUUAAAAGAAUUUUGAUAUACUUAUUUCUUUUAUCUUAUUAUGUCAUUAACAUGUUUUUUGUUUUAAACAACAACAUUAUGAUAUUCCAAACACAAUACAUAUUAGAAAGAAAGUGUUAUCGCAUAUAACGAUAAGAUGAAGGGAUUUCAAGACAAGGCUGACACGACUAUAUGUCUUUGGAGACAAACAACAUGAAAAUCCAUGUCAGCAUUAUACCUUCACAGAGGAGGAAUGGAUACAAUUUCGUGCAUCUAGAGAGUCUGAGGAAUGGAAGGGUAAAAGGUUAGCCACCCAAGAAAGGCAAAGGCUAAACGAUGCACCAUACUUGUUAUCACGAGGUGGUUAUGCAAAACUGGAAAAGAAAAUUAGAAAGUCUCGAGCGAAUGCCUUGGGGCUUGAGUCCCCGGACCUAGCACCUGCACCUGCUAGGUACAAGCUUUGGAGGCUGCUCGAACUAAAUCUGAUGGGAACAUGACAUC